This 468-nucleotide ribosomal RNA is filed under the name uncultured bacterium. RNAcentral describes it as "partial 16S ribosomal RNA". It matches the Rfam family "Bacterial small subunit ribosomal RNA", at positions 28 to 507 of the family's 1533-position model. The record is from RNAcentral.
GACGAACGCUGGCGGCGUGCUUAACACAUGCAAGUCGAACGGAAAGGCCCUGCUUUUGUGGGGUGCUCGAGUGGCGAACGGGUGAGUAACACGUGAGUCACCUGCCCUUGACUUUGGGAUAACUUCAGGAAACUGAUGCUAAUACCGGAUAGGAGCUCCUGCUGCAUGGUGGGGGUUGGAACGUUUCGGCGGUUGGGGAUGGACUCGCGGCUUAUCAGCUUGUUGGUGGGGUAGUGGCUUACCAAGGCUUUGAAGGGUAGCCGGCAUGAGAGGGUGACCGGCGACAUGGGGACUGAGAUACGGACCAGACUCCUACGGGAGGCAGCAGUGGGGAGUAUUGCACAAUGGGCGGAAGCCUGAUGCAGCAACGCCGCGUGCGGGAUGACGGCCUUCGGGGUGUAAACCGCUGUCGCCUGUGACGAAGCGUGAGUGACGGUAAUGGGUAAAGAAGCACCGGCUAACUACGUG